Spinacia oleracea (spinach) is the source of this 1992-nucleotide long non-coding RNA. RefSeq lists it as uncharacterized. The record is from RefSeq and is a predicted model, not a curated record. NCBI's taxonomy places the organism in Eukaryota, Viridiplantae, Streptophyta, Magnoliopsida, Caryophyllales, Amaranthaceae. The transcript has 3 exons.
CGGACACCUUCUCUCUCAACUCCACCGACUAUCUCUCUCUUCCUCUCUGAUUUCCAUCUGCUCUAAUCCCUCAAACCCUAUGAGCGGAGUCAAUUCAGAUGGAAACUUAGUCAUAAGGUUCACUACCACCAUACCUCUUCCUUAGAUUCGGUGCCAUAGAAAGCGGGGACGGUUGCGUCAAGGAGAGAGGAACAUCAAUUGGCUGACUCAAAUCCCUUAGCUUCAACGCCGCAUCGAAAGCGAGAAGAAGAACUAGGGAUUUUCCAACUCAGUCGUUGUCUAUGCCGCCGCCUCCACCGCCGGAGUUACACGUCGCCGCCUCACGCAACCCAGGCAAAUGCGUUUGUGGAAGGUGUGACGCAAAAAUCCGGCAUCAGAUCGAUGAACUGGAGAUUUGACAGCUGAUGGAGUUCCUAUUGUGUUUUGAGCGACUGUGGAACUUAGACGGGAUGCACGAGUGGCACUUUCUGUAUACAGUGCUUUUGAUGACAUGGAGUAUAUUAAAGCCCAGAAAAUCAGUUUGAAGGAACUGUAAAUGAAGGAAAUCGAGGGAAGAGCAUAUGGGAUACCUUCUCCAAACUCCCAGGCAUUAUUAUUUUUAAUUAUUAGUACGAACACUAAUUAAUUUGUUAAUUUUAAUGUUAUUAGGAUAUUAUGUAUAUAAUUGCUUCAUUAAUUUGUUGAUUAUGAAUAAAUUGAAGCAUUAUGUAGUAUUUUUUUUUGGUAGAAUAUCAAUUUACAUUAUUUUUUUGCAUCCUGAAAGUUGUUAGGCUUAAAUUUCUUAACGCUCCCAAUAUACGCGUGCAUCCUUGAAGUUAUUGGUCUUAUGUGUGUUUGGUAAGUUGGGGACUUGGUGGAGCGAGUUUAUUUGGAACAUGGAUGCACUAAAUGAUGUUGUUCUUUGUGGUGUAAUAGUCAAACUUCAUAGAUAGUGACCAGCAGGGCCAUUUUAAAAGUUUGGAGGGUCCUGUUCUAGAAUUAAAAUUGGACCCUUCUCUAAGUAUCAAUUAGCAAUUCAAAUUUUCUUCUUAUUCAUAUAUUUUCAUACCCACAUUUACAUUUUUUCUAGGAGGCAUAAUUUAUAAAUCACAAAAAAUUUCAACAAUUUAACAAUAUCGAUGUGUUAAAUGAAUUGAAAAAACUGGGGAAAAAUUUUAUAUGGUGUAAAAUAUGAUAUUAAGAAAUAUGAUAUUAAGAAAAUGAUGUAUUUUUCCAUUGAUAAUUGGGAGAUUAAUGGGAAAUUGGCUGAUUUAUUUUAGUAAUUUGAAGUAUAAAUAUUGGAGAAGAUGGAAGAUUGAUGAUGAUGAUGGCGUGAGAAACAAUGAGGAAGCUGACUUUCCUCAAUAAGAAGAGAAAAAAAAAACACAACUUUCCAAUGUAAGGUGAAAUAGAUGCAAUAUUUUAUUUUUUUGGGCCCUUUUUUUUAACCGGGACCUUCUAAAAUUUUUGGGCCCUGUGCCGUUGGGCUUCUUGCACUCCCUUAUCAACGGGCCUGGUGACCAGAACAGAUUUGCUGAUUUUUGAGGGUUGCAACAGUUAGGCCAUGUCCUAUGUACCAUUGUAUGAUUUUGAUUAAAUUGAAGCAUUAUGUAGUAUUUUUUUUGUUAGAAUAUCAAUUUACAGUUGAACAGGAAUUUAAGUGCAAUUAAUUAUAUUGUUUAAUUUUGUUAUUACUGUUAUUUAUGAUUUACGUUGAGCCUACAUCAGAAACAGAUUUGAGUUGAGCUUGAUUUAGUGAAAGUAUUUUGAUUUUUUGAUAGCAAGAGAGGGUGUGAAACAUCCUAGACUAGAACUUUAUAGAGAUGAGAAUAUAGUUAAUUUUAAUCAGAAUCAGGGUGGGGGUUUGACGGUGCAGGGUGGAGUCUGGAUCAGAAAGACCACGUUAGUAUUAUUGACUGUAUUUUGCUUUGUGAUUUGAUGAUUUGUGAUUGAUAAUUAGAUGACGAUUAUGAUGAUGAUGAGAGAAUUGUUAACGAUGGUAUCGAUUUUGCA